GACAUCGUAACUUUAUUUAUUCUAUUAACUUUUCCCCUAAUAUGUUUAAAUUUCAAUAUAAGAUUUAGAAAUGUUUAAAAAUAUUUACACUUUUAAAUAUGGUAGCAAUUUAUUACACAUCGAUUAUGAUAUAAAUGAACACUUGUAAAUAUGGCCAAUGCUUGCAAUAAAAAAUGCACUAGGACUACAAGAGGGACGUUUUUAUGUGUGAGAUAAAAAUGGGGUCAAAUGUUAAAAUUAGCAUGCCAUAUAGAAGUAAAACUAACUUCUAUAUUUGAAAAACUUUGAAGAAAUUUGCGGAAGACCGUAGAAAAAUAGAGAAACUUUUGUUUGAGUAUUUAAGGAUAAAGAAGAGAGAUCAAGAUGGUUUUGCAACUAGAUAUUCCAUUUAAAAAGAUAUAAGAAACUUGCAAGAGUUGAAUAAACAUACAUAGAAGCAUGUCUACAAAAUAUAUGCCCUUGUUUGAGCCCCA
RNAcentral lists this long non-coding RNA (473 nucleotides) under Olea europaea (common olive). RNAcentral's name for it is "long non-coding RNA (OEUR_LNC003501)". Lineage: Eukaryota; Viridiplantae; Streptophyta; Magnoliopsida; Lamiales; Oleaceae. The record is from RNAcentral.